GCCAUUUUCCUGCCUCAGCCUCCCGAGUAGCUGGGACUAUAGGCACCCGCCACCACGCCCGGCUAAUUUUUUGUAUUCACAGUACAGACGGGGUUUCACCGUGUUAGCCAGGAUGGUUUCGAUCUCCUGACCUCGUGAUCCGCCCGCCUCUGCCUCCCAAAGUGCUGGGAUUACAGGCGUGAGCCACCGCGCCCGGUGGAAAGGACACUUUUUUACAGUAUGAGCACUGAAACAAAAAGGCAAAGCAAGGUCUGUUCACCUUCAGCUGAGAACGUGAGGAUUGGUUCAGGAGUACAUGCGCAGGUUUGUCAUAUAAGCAAAUUAUGUGGCACAGAAGUUUGGUGUAUGGAUUAUUUCAUCACCCAGGCCGUUUCUCAGCGUUGGAUGUGCAAGCAGUUUUGAGAGAUGAAGUCAUGACUUCAAGACAAAAAAACAGGUUUGCUUAUUUUGCUACAAACCAAUAAGUUCUUCAGCCAUGCUGCAAAUCCACUGUGUAUCCAGUUCCCAUCUGCGGCCCGCACAUCAUCCCCAUGGGACUUGAGAGCAAGAGGAUCCCACGCAAAUCAUGUUGCUUGCUAUGCUAUCCAGGGCUCCCUGGAGAACUGGCUAAUUCUCGGGCAUGGAAUGAAAAAAUACAAGAUGAACCUGGAGAAGCUUUCUGUGUCAGAAAGUAAGAACGUGCUCAAAGAAUGAUGGGACCAUGUGAAAAGGACAUAGGAGUCUGUUUGAAAGGCAUCCCACUGGCCAAAUAUAGGAUAACUCUGAGGAUAAAAAUGUCAGUAAAGAAUUAUAACCCACUGAAAUAAAAAAUGAUAAAUGGAUAAAUGAAGGCAUUAUUUAUAGGACAAUGACAGCUAAUACAUUUUAAAAGAAAAAUGAGAUACAAGAUCAACAUUUGGCAAACACCAUAAUAAUUAUUUCUGGCAAGAAACAUCCAUGAAAGCUAAAAACUAAUGGAUGCAAAUUGAUGAGAAAGAUAAUAUUUAUAUAACCUCAAAGCAUCUCCUUCAUAAAAUACUUAUUAGUGACAAAGUGAAGAUGGUGACUCUACAAUGGAGGAACCUAGCAGACAGCAUCUUAACCAAGGGAUCAAGAUGGAACAAUUGUGUACUAUAAUGUUCAUUCUCAUAUCAGGCGCUAAGUACACAACAUCACUUUUGUGCUACUCUGCACAAAACCCAUAACUGAAAUCUAACUCUGAGGAAACAUCAGAUAAAAACAAAAUGAACAAUAUUCUUUGCAAUAAGUGAUCUGUGCUCUUCAAAAUGUGAAGGUCAUAAAAGACAGUUCCAGGUCAAAAGAGACCAAAGGUGCACAAUAACUAAAUAAAAAAAGAACCUUAUAUUAGAUUUUGCAGAAGAAACUAUUUUUUGCCCUUUCUUUAAAGAAUAUUAAUGGGAAGUUGGUGAAAUUUGAAUAAAGUCUGUACAUGAGAUG
This 1437-nucleotide long non-coding RNA is filed under the name Homo sapiens (human). Its description in RNAcentral is "long intergenic non-protein coding RNA 2840". The record is from RNAcentral. Lineage: Eukaryota; Metazoa; Chordata; Mammalia; Primates; Hominidae.